Molecule: ribosomal RNA, 468 nt
Filed under: uncultured bacterium
Lineage: Bacteria
Description: partial 16S ribosomal RNA
Rfam family: Bacterial small subunit ribosomal RNA
Source: RNAcentral
GACGAACGCUGGCGGCGUGCUUAACACAUGCAAGUCGAACGGAAAGGCCCUGCUUUUGUGGUGUUCUCGAGUGGCGAACGCGUGAGUAACACGUGAGUAACCUGCCCUUGACUUUCGUAUAACUUCACGUAACUGGGGCUAAUACCGUAUCGGAGCUCCUGCUCCAUGGUGGGGGUUGGAUAGUUUCGGCGGUUGGGGAUGGACUCGCGGCUUAUCAGCUUGUUGGUUGGGGAGUUGCUUACCCAGGCUUUGACGGGUAGCCGGCCUGAGAGGGUGACCGGCGUCAUGGGGACUGAGAGACGGCCCAGACUGCUACGGGAGGCAGUAGUGGGGAAUAUUGCACAAUGGGCGGAAGCCUGAUGCAGAAACGCCGCGGGCGGGAUGACGGCCUUCGGGGUGUAAACCGCUUUAGCCUGUGACGAAGCGUGAGUGACGGUAAUGGGUAAAGAAGCACCGGCUAACUACGUG